GACGUAGGAUGCAAGCGUUGUCCGGAAUUAUUGGGCGUAAAGCGUUCGUAGGUGGCCUGUCAAGUCUGAUGUUAAAGCCCGGAGCUCAACUCCGGUUCAGCAUUGGAUACUGACAAGCUAGAGUGCAGGAGAGGCAAGGGGAAUUCCUAGUGUAGCGGUGAAAUGCGUAGAUAUUAGGAGGAACACCGGUGGCGAAAGCGCCUUGCUGGACUGUAACUGACGCUGAGGGACGAAAGCCAGGGGGGCAAAUGGG
Molecule: ribosomal RNA, 253 nt
Filed under: uncultured bacterium
Lineage: Bacteria
Description: partial 16S ribosomal RNA
Rfam family: Bacterial small subunit ribosomal RNA
Source: RNAcentral